AACAUAUUCCCUCCGUUUCAUAAUUCUUGUCAAAAUCUUACAUGUAUCUAGACAUUUUUUAGAAAUAGAUACAUUUAUUUUGUGGCAAAUUUGAGACAAGAAAUAUGAAACGGAGGGAGUAACAU
Molecule: non-coding RNA, 125 nt
Organism: Brachypodium distachyon (stiff brome)
Lineage: Eukaryota; Viridiplantae; Streptophyta; Magnoliopsida; Poales; Poaceae
Source: Rfam